Molecule: long non-coding RNA, 362 nt
Organism: Antechinus flavipes (yellow-footed antechinus)
Lineage: Eukaryota; Metazoa; Chordata; Mammalia; Dasyuromorphia; Dasyuridae
Exons: 2
Source: RefSeq, a predicted model, not a curated record
UUCCCAGCUCUGCCUAGACUGUCCGGGUCCGGCCUGGCGCCCGUCUCCUGAGUGGGUUGCCAUGGGAAACGGGAGCCCCUCCCCCCUCCGUCUCAGCGCUACGGAGGGGCGAAAAGAGUGCCGGACUUUGGACCAUGCACAUAAUGAGAUGGACGGAAAAAUGCCAGACACUGUAGUAAAUACUUGGGGUCCAAAUCCUCAAAAAAGAAACUCAAUCCGUGACCUCAAGGGGAGUGGUGACUAAGGAAGAAGAUUUUGUUGCGGAAAAGUCACAGCCGGGAGAGUUAGUCCUUCCAUAAGGUGGUUGACUAGCCGACCCUUUCCGGAAGCAAUGUGAAUAAAUAUUUGUAGAAUUAAUUGAA